RNAcentral lists this long non-coding RNA (6457 nucleotides) under Olea europaea (common olive). RNAcentral's name for it is "long non-coding RNA (OEUR_LNC002288)". The record is from RNAcentral. Lineage: Eukaryota; Viridiplantae; Streptophyta; Magnoliopsida; Lamiales; Oleaceae.
UACUGGCCAAUGCUCUUCUUGAUUUCUCAAACCAUUAUUUUGUUCUCCUCUCUGAAUCAUGCAUUCCCCUUUAUAAUUUUUCCACAAUAUACUCUUACCUAAUGAACUCGACCCAAAAUUUUGUGGAGUUGUACGAUUUACCUGGCCCCGUCGGUCAAGGAAGGUACAGCAUCCUAAUGCAGCCAUUGAUCAAGCUCGAGCAAUGGAGAAAGGGCUCUCAAUGGUUUGCAAUGGACAGAGAUCUUGCAAUUGAAGUUAUAGCUGACAAUACUUAUUUUCCAGUGUUCCAAAAAUAUUGCAAUGGCUCAUGUUAUGCUGAUGAGCAUUAUUUGCCAACGUUUGUGAACGUGAAAUUUGAAGGGAGGAAUUCAAAUAGAACUUUGACUUGGGUUGACUGGUCCAAGGGUGGGCCCCAUCCUUCCCAGUUUUUAAGGACAGAUGUUACUCCAGAGUUCUUGGAGAAGUUAAGGAGUGAAAAUUCAUGUGAGUGAGUGGAUGGAAAUUAAUUUUUCAACAAUAAGUAUUUAUUCAAUUUAUAUUAAAUCAGAAAAUUUAUUAUUUCAUACAGUAGAUUUGAUAGCAUGAUUUUCCGAAUAAGUUGAUUUAUAAACAAUUAUUUUUAAAGUUUGAUCUAGUUCAGUUAAAUCAUUUCAUUAGCAUGUUUUAUCGAUAUUAUAUGUUUCAGAAUAUUUAAAGUUAUUUCUAAAAACCACCAGAAAGUACCCAGGUAAUUUCACCCCAGUCUGUACUGGUGUGAAUGUGUCUCCACAGUGUAUGACUACUUAUGGUGAUUUUACCAACUCUGCACUAUUGUGAAUGUGUUUUCAUAGUGUAUGAUCAGAAUUGCAGAAUCUUAGCUUUGCGCGCGUAAUUACAGAAUUUCAGAAUUACAGAAUCGAAUAGCUUUGUCAUGUAUAUCGGUACUAACUGAUAUAUGGGUAAGGUUAUUUCGGGUGUCUUUUUGGUGUGAUUUUCAGUAAAUUGCAGUUCAUCAGUUUUCAGAUUAUAGAAUUUAGUCAUUUCAAUUUAAAGAAUAAAUAUUUUGGCUUAUAGUACAAUAAAAGAACAUUUUUAUUAUAUACUAGUUUUCUGAAAGUUGGCAUAACUAGAAAAUAUAUAUUUACUUACGGAAUAUCCACUUACUGAGUUACAGGCUCACAUUUUUAUCACAAUUUCUCUUAUCAGAUAGUAACUGAGUUGAGUUCUACUGGCCAGUUGAUCUAUGGAGUUGAGCCAUAGAUUAUCAAGCAUUGCAUGACUCAUCUUAUCAGUUUAAUAGUUUAUAUUUUAGGAUAGACACUUCUUUUGGUCAGAAAUUAAUUUUAUGUUUUGGGCCUGCUAUGUUUUGUAUAUAUUAUGCAUUUUGAGUAUUGUGGUUUAUAAAUUAUUGCAAAUGUCGAAUUGCUAGUGUUGUAUUUUAAAUAGUUGAUAUUCUGUGGGUCAGUGUACCCUAUUUUAAACUAUAUGUAUCUGUUUGGGAUAUUGGAUUAUAUAUUUUAGGUGGUUUUAGUCCAUAAUUCAGGGGGAAUUCUGCCAAAAUUUUUAACAGUCAAAACAAGUCAAAGUUGCCUUAAUGGUGGGUCUGACACUUAACUGGUAUUUACUAUCGGCACACGACACGUGUCGAGAUUAUUAGGAUGAUUCAGGACGGGUCGUGUCACCAAUUGUGCAAAGGAUAUGAGUGAGGUUAUUUCACGCCUUGCUGGCAGUCGCAGUAUGAGGGUUCAAUUUCUGAGACAUGGAAUUGGACUCCUUGUAAACGCAGUGUAUAUGCAGCUCUUGUUCCCUGGUCUGCUGAGGCACAUCCCGCGAUUUAUCUCCCUUACAAAGCUCAAGGGGCGGGGCGGUGGAGGCCCUUAAGAUUGGGGUUCAACCUUUUUUGUCAGGAUUGAUCUUAAUGAAGUUGUUUGCAGAAUCGGGUUCACUUGUCAAAUGCCACUUUCAUGCUUUAUUCGUAUCUUUAUAAUUACUUAUUUCGAAUUUUAUGAUCGAUAACAAUGAAACAUUAGUUCGUCGAUCAUAUUAAUCUCAAAUGUGAUCAUUUCACUUUCAGUUAUAUGUUUUUUCUUAUCAAAAUGGAAUUGGAUAAUGAUUUCAAACAAACUGGAGUUGUAUCUCUUUUUAUAUUUCCAUUCAAGAGUUUGUAUGUAUUUCAACACCCAUUGAGACCCUGAGAAAUGGAUAAAUUCAUUUUCUUAAGGAUAUCUAUAUGAGAUUUGUCACAACAAGAAGGAAUGAUAACUUGAUCAUUAACUACUAUAUUCAUAACUUUAUAACAAUACAAAUACGUAUCCUCGAGAGGCACAAUUUGCAACUUACUCUCCUCUUGCCUAUAUGCUAAAGAUUUAUCUGGAAUUUCGUACGAUUCAAAUGGAUCAAUAUGAGAGUUCGACCAUAUUGCAUUGUUAGAAUUCAUGUUGCUUAUUUAAAAGAGUUUGACCUCCUUACUUCCCUAUUGUGUGUCAAGCCCCUUCUUCAUUAGUCCACAUAAAUAAAAUGUAGGACUAGUUCAACUCGCAAGCAUGAAGUUAAAAUCGCUAGUAAUCGCCUGUUUGCAUCUAUAUAGCCAGAAAUUUGUUCACUUAGCCUGUUCACAUUGCUCAUCAUACUCUGAAAACUGAUCAUGUUUAAAGCCAUUGCAACACAUCUAGUGACCAUUUGUAAAUCUUUCGACUUUUUUAAGGUCACAAAUUUGAUUAAACACAUCAAGUUGUCAACCCAACUUAACAAAAAUUUACCACAAAAUUAAAUAAAGAUCAUAAUUAACACUUUAAAACUCAUAAAUCAUAAUAAGCUAAGUGGUCCACAAAACCUACUACUUGCAAUGUUCAAGUCCAAUAUGCAAUCAAAUAGUUUACUGGGUCCUGAUAAGCAAUUAUUUUGUUGGGGUGCGUUAUCUAUACCAGAAUUGAACCGUUGAUUGUGACCCUCUAGCGGUCUGUCAUUUCCUCAUGAACACGUUAUUUUAUUGCUGGGUAAAUUGGAUUAUAAAUCACGUUAUUAACUUAUGCAAUCGAAUUUGGCCCUGCUUUAACUAAAAAGUUAAUAAAAAUUUAAGUUAAAUUUAUAAUUAAUUUUAAUCAGAUAUUUCAUCGGAUACACAAUGUUUGUUAAUUUUUCAAUUACAUAUUUAAUUAAUUUUUAUCAAAAUCUACUGAAAAUAUGAUUUUUAACAAAAUCUGACUUAAUAUUUUACCAUUAUCUAUAACCAAUCAGAGAGUAAAUACAUCAAUUAUGGUCAUAAUUCAAUAUUCGUUUUUAGUGUGAAAAAGCUUGACCAACGUUUCAGUUUGGAAAAAAUUAAAUAUGAACGUGAACUCUAAGACACUAAGUAUGCCACAAAAUAAAUGAUUUUGUUAUGAUAAAAAAACAUUUAUGGAUAAUGGAAAACAUUUACAAAAACAUGUAUACAAAUCUUAACAUACCCAAUAAGCCAUAAACAAACCAUUUUAGAAUUCAGAACUCGGGAGGUGAUCUUAACUAAGAUUUUGAUGGAUUUUAAAAGAUUAUAAAUCUUAAUGAAUUUCUUGGAUUUGAAUAGAUUUCCACAAAUUUCAUAAAAUCUCAUCAAAUAUGUUAAAAUUUCAAAAGAUUUUAUUAUAUGUAUUUUUAAGCAGGAAAUCCAUUCAUUUAUUUUAAAAUCCCUCUAAUAUUUAAACUUGAAAGAAUUUCAUUAGGACACUUAAAUUUUAAUAAAUUUCAUGAAAAUCCAUUAAAAUACACCUAAAUUCAGAAGGUCGAUCACAAUCUUAAUUUACAACUUAACUGAUAUGCAUAGCAUUAAUUACAAAAUCAUACUUAAUGUGGGUAAUUAAUAGGCAUAAAUAAUAAUAUAUGGAGGCCAAUUCAAAGUAAGACGUUACCUAUUCUUUCCUUGUAUGCCUGUUUGGUUCACGUCCGUUUAAACCACAGAAACUUACAUUGUUCGACGGCUAACUUUCUUUAAGUUUUUCAAAUUUAUGUCGUUUCAUAUACUGAAUACUUUCUCCAAUCUUCAUUGGUCAACUUUUAAAAAUGUUUUUUGUUUGUAUAUAAAUUUGAUCUUCGACAAGUUAAAUCUAGACAGCCAACAAACAUCAUAGAAUUGGCCGGAUAGUUUGUUUGUUUGUUUCAAGUUUAUAUAAAACGCAAACUUUGUGAUCUCAGACUUUAACCGACAGUUGUUCACUUCUCUUUAUCAAUGUUCCAAUGUUAGUUCCCAAAUGUUUCUUCAAAAUCACUUAUUCUCUUGGAAUUUCCAUUGCUUCUUCAUUGUAAUUUCAGAGGCUCAUAUCACAAAGUAACCAGAGAAUUUUAUCAAAAUGAAGAACCAGAAUCCAAUUUCUUCAGGUGGAAGUGGGAAGUCCAUGAAUGUUAUUGCCCCAUUGUCACUGGUUAAACACCUUUCUUGCUUUUUCUUUUUCAUUUUCGGGUUAACUCUUGGGAUAAUUCUUUGUUUCCAUUACAAAAGUUUCUCUUUCAAUCUGCUAGUUACCAAUCGCCAAUUCUCUAUUUUCACUUCACAAUCAUCAUCAUCAUCACUAUCAACGCCUCCAACUUCAAAUACAAGUAAUUAUAAUCUAGAGCCACCUAAUGUUAUUAUGCAUAACUUGAAUGAUCAAGAAUUGCUGUGGAGAGCCUCAAUGGCUCCAAGAAUUCAAGAAUUUCCAUUCAAACGACGUCCCAAGAUUGCAUUUAUGUUCUUGAUUAGAGGGCCGGUUUUGUUAGCCCCUCUGUGGGAGUUAUUCUUCAAAGGAAAUGAAGGGCUAUACUCAAUUUAUGUGCAUUCUGAUCCAGCUUUCAAUGAAUCAGACCCUCAAGGUUCAGUUUUUUAUGGCAGGAGAAUUCCUAGUAAGGUCAGUCAGUUCAACUCAUUCUUAUUGCAUUAUUCAUUAUUAUAUAAAUUGCUGCUUAAACACGCUGCUGCUCUUGUCCGUAAUUUUAAUAUGAAAACAAUAAUCAACAUAUCAUACUAUCGUUUUUACUUUACAUUUACAGUAAAUAUUCCUUCUGGUAAUUCUAAUAUAAUUAUAGCUCUUUGAAUUAAAUAUUAAUUCGAUAAGUUUAGAUAAAUGUAUUUUACAGAAAAUAAUAGGAGAAUUUAUCGUUAAGGUGAACCGUACCAAACUUAAGAUUAACGCAAUUUAUUCAGAACAUUUGUACCUAUAAAUAUAAUCCCUUUAUUUCUGGUAUCUUCAUAUUCUCUUCAAAAUGGGGAGAUGGGGAAGAAAAUUAGUAAGAUUUUUAAUUAGGUGCUUGAAAAAUAUGUUGUUCAGUUUCGAAAAUUCUAUAUUAAUAAUUGCAGUCAAGCACUCAAUGUCCAAAUCAGAGAACAAUCAACGAUGAGGAAAAUAUCUGAAAACUAGCAUGUAUAACAUUCAAAAAGAAAUGGUAAUGGUUAGAUUUGUCCAUUUUGUCUAUUAAAAUAUGGUGCAAUGUGCAUAAUUUUUCAAAAAUAGGUAGAGGAAAGAUUUUAACUCGAAUCUUUUAUUCAUUCUUAUUUAUGUUCUGAUAUCACAUUAAACCGUAUAAUUCAAAAACUCAAUGUAUUAUAGAAGGGGCACUAGCUAUGGUAAGAUUUGCCCAAAUCAAAUUCAGGGGUGAUCUCUACCCAAAAUAGAAAAUAAACCUAAAAGGAUGAAAGAUGGUCGUUUAAAAACAUGAAAUACCAUGAUUAUUUAGUAGUCAAUGAAACUCUCCAUGAUUGGCUUAUAUAAAAAGUUCAUUUACAUUGUUGAAUGCAUAUUAUUAUCCCAAUUUCUCAACCAGUUUAUUCAAUUGUUAACUAAAUUAUCAAAACAGAUAAGCCAAGGUUAUGUAUUGUGUUUAGUGUGGCAUCGUAAAUGAUGCAUCGUUUGGGGGCAAAAGUUAAUCGUCUCAUUUCAAAGAUAUUUCUUCACCCGGCAUUGUCUUAUCUCCCAUAUCCUUUUCAGUAAAAAAAUUUGGUCCAGAGAUAGAUUACAUUGGUAUCCUCGAUUUCCCAGAUGGUUACUAGCUAGAGAAUUAUGUACUAUCCUUUAAAUACGAUGGACUCUGUAUAGUUUUCGAAAUUUUUGUCACGUCUCCCUUUUCUAAUGCACUGUUCCGAACAAGUUGUGAAUAAUAAUGUUGAUGUGAUGCCGGAUUAAUGAAAUUUCUAUACGUAUUGAUGUCUUUUAUUUAUCUCAUAGAAAUACUUUCGAAAAUUGCAGAAAGUCAGCUGGGGUCACGCAAACAUGGUCGAAGCAGAACGCAGACUACUGGCCAAUGCUCUUCUUGAUUUCUCAAACCAUUAUUUUGUUCUCCUCUCUGAAUCAUGCAUUCCCCUUUAUAAUUUUUCCACAAUAUACUCUUACCUAAUGAACUCGACCCAAAAUUUUGUGGAGUUGUACGAUUUACCUGGCCCCGUCGGUCAAGGAAGGUACAGCAUCCUAAUGCAGCCAUUGAUCAAGCUCGAGCAAUGGAGAAAGGGCUCUCAAUGGUUUGCAAUGGACAGAGA